RNAcentral lists this ribosomal RNA (460 nucleotides) under uncultured bacterium. Its description in RNAcentral is "partial 16S ribosomal RNA". It matches the Rfam family "Bacterial small subunit ribosomal RNA", at positions 338 to 795 of the family's 1533-position model. The record is from RNAcentral.
CCUACGGGAGGCAGCAGUGAGGAAUAUUGGUCAAUGGCCGUAAGGCUGAACCAGCCAAGUAGCGUGAGGGAUGAAGGUUCUAUGGAUCGUAAACCUCUUUUAUCAGGGAAUAAAGUGUGGGACGUGUCCUGUUUUGUAUGUACCUUAUGAAUAAGGAUCGGCUAACUCCGUGCCAGCAGCCGCGGUAAUACGGAGGAUCCGAGCGUUAUCCGGAUUUAUUGGGUUUAAAGGGUGCGUAGGCGGACUUUUAAGGCAGCGGUGAAAGUCUGUGGCUCAACCAUAGAAUUGCCGUUGAAACUGGGAGGCUUGAGUAUGUUAGAGGCAGGCGGAAUGCGUGGUGUAGCGGUGAAAUGCUUAGAUAUCACGCAGAACCCCGAUUGCGAAGGCAGCCUGCCAGGCCAUGACUGACGCUGAUGCACGAAAGCGUGGGGAUCAAACAGGAUUAGAUACCCCAGUAGUC